GAAUAAAGUUAUUGAGGUUUUUUUUAUUUAUAGAGUCAUUAUCAUCCAGCCAUAAAGAAAUAUGCAGUACAUUUAGGUAAAAUGGCUCCUGUGUCUGGAGAAGGACAGUUACCGUUACAAUAUAAAAAACCUCCACGUGAUUUAUAUGAUGAGUUUUCAACAGAAAUAGAUGUAUUUAAUCCACCUGUUGCAGAAAAAUCAACUUUUAAACACAAAAGUAAAAAGAUGAAGAUGUUCAUGCAGGAAGAUAUAAGUGAUAUGGUGGUGCAAGUUCUUAGUUCAAUACCAGACUGACACUGUAGCAAAUAAAAAAUACACAACUCUA
Long non-coding RNA from Mytilus trossulus (common blue mussel), 325 nucleotides. RefSeq lists it as uncharacterized. The transcript has 3 exons. The record is from RefSeq and is a predicted model, not a curated record. Lineage: Eukaryota; Metazoa; Mollusca; Bivalvia; Mytilida; Mytilidae.